Molecule: small RNA, 144 nt
Filed under: Prosthecodimorpha hirschii
Lineage: Bacteria; Pseudomonadati; Pseudomonadota; Alphaproteobacteria; Hyphomicrobiales; Ancalomicrobiaceae
Description: Prosthecomicrobium hirschii Alphaproteobacterial sRNA BjrC1505
Rfam family: Alphaproteobacterial sRNA BjrC1505
Source: Rfam by way of RNAcentral
GGCGUCCCGAUUUACGCUUCGUUAAGGUUUACGAGGCAUGAUCGUCUGGUCCGGAAGUCCCGGACCCGAGUGGCUCCUAUCCACUCCUCUUUUUGACGCCUCCCUGUACUUUCUUCGAGCCGUGCCCGUCACGGCUCGUUUUUU